Molecule: ribosomal RNA, 253 nt
Filed under: uncultured bacterium
Lineage: Bacteria
Description: partial 16S ribosomal RNA
Rfam family: Bacterial small subunit ribosomal RNA
Source: RNAcentral
UACGGAGGGAGCUAGCGUUGUUCGGAAUUACUGGGCGUAAAGCGCGCGUAGGCGGCUUUGUAAGUUAGAGGUGAAAGCCCGGGGCUCAACCCCGGAAUUGCCUUUAAGACUGCAUCGCUUGAAUCCGGGAGAGGUGAGUGGAAUUCCGAGUGUAGAGGUGAAAUUCGUAGAUAUUAGGAAGAACACCAGUGGCGAAGGCGGCUCACUGGUCCGGUACUGACGCUGAGGUGCGAAAGCGUGGGGAGCAAACAGG